This is a non-coding RNA of Odocoileus virginianus texanus, 1457 nucleotides long. The record is from RefSeq and is a predicted model, not a curated record. Lineage: Eukaryota; Metazoa; Chordata; Mammalia; Artiodactyla; Cervidae.
ACCCCACAGCAGCUCCCAUCUCACUCAGUGUUAAGGCCUCAGUCCCUACAAAAGCCUUCAGUCCCCCCAUGCUCUGUUCCUCUGUCACCCUCGUCUCUGCCGCUGGCCCCCCUUGCUCCUGCUUCAGCCACAGCGGCCUUCUUGCAGGUCCUCAAACACAAGCAGGUACAGCGCAGUCAGCAGGAAGCAGCCGCCGCCCAGGGCAAUGACGAAGGCGCAGCACAGGAAGCUCUGCUGAAGGCUGAGGAAGCGCUGCAGGGUCUGAUGCUUGACCAUCCUGCUAUUACAAGCAAAAAGGAGCCUUUCCAGAAACACUGACACGUUUGCUACAGAACGUUUGGAAAACAGUGAGAAGAACCAAGAGGACAAGCUCACCUCAAGCCCUGCAAAUGGGGAAUUGCAAGGAGGGCAGAGAAGGGAACUCCAGACAAGGGACAGUGUGAGCCAAGGGGCCAGGGCUGCUUGGAGAGAGAAAGUUCCCUUCCUCUGCUCCCAGGAACUCCAACCUGCAGGACCCAGACUGGCUCCUGCUGCCAGUGGCAGGGAGCCCGGGGCAUAACCAGCGCCAAUCAAGGGCCCGCACAAAGUUGGAGUGGCAGUCACCAGGUGCAAACUUCCUGGCAGCCUGCCUCACGCGCCCCACUCAGCCCUCACACCCAGACACCCCUGGGAGGGUGAGACAGACAAGUGAGCAGACGGCUACCUAGGGGCAGAAGGCAGAGCAGGGAAGCAUGGAGAUGCAUGGACGGAGGGAGAACUGAAGGGUGAUGAUCCCCCAGGGAAGGGGGAUCUGCUGAAGAGGUGGGAGGUGAUCCCAGUGGCAGGAUUCCAGCAACCCAAAAUACAGACCUGGGAGAGGGAGCCAGUCCCCCUUCUGCCCGACUCCCCACACCUGGGGGUGGGUAAACUAGAGGGGGGCCCAGAGAGACAGGAGGGUGGGAAGGGAGCUGGAGACCCCAUCAGUGGGUUGAGGGAGAUGGUGAGCUCAUUUGGGGAUACACAGUCUCCAGUCUUGCAGGGAACAAGGCCAUCUGAGUCCCAGCCGAACUAGUGGGGAGGUCGCAGACAAGAGUCUGAAGUGGGUCUUGGCUGUGAUAAGCCAAGAUCCUUUUUAUUAACCGAGCCACCAGGAGGCAGGGGUUUCCCAGGAUGCGAGGAGUGAGCUGCCCAUCAGAGGGGUAUGUAAACAAGGGGGUGGACAGCACUGGUCAGAAUUUUGCAGAGGGUUCAUGAGCUGGAAAGCUGGCUGCACUAGAAUAGCAUCCUCCAGUGCAUUCUGAGGAGCAGCUCCAGCAGGAUCACGCAGGACAAUUCAAGAGCAAUGCAGAUCCCUGGGCCCCAACACAGACAUGACUGAAUCAGACUCUGAGGACAGAGGGCCAGGAAAGUGAAUUUAUAAUGGAAGUGAAGUGAAAAUGUUAGUCACUCAGUCAUAUCAACUCUUUGUGACCCCAUGG